CAUGCGAGUUUUUGUAGUAAUACAAGGCAUACGGCUCAGUAACACGUAGUCAACCUACCCUAUGGACGAGGAUAAUCUCGGGAAACUGAGCAUAAUACUCGAUAGAUCAUAAUGCCUGGAAUGGUUUAUGGUUGAAAUGAUUCGUUCGCCAUAGGAUGGGACUGCGGCCUAUCAGCUUGUUGGUGGGGUAAUGGCCCACCAAGGCGAUUACAGGUACGGGCUCUGAGAGGAGAAGCCCGGAGAUGGGUACUGAGACACGGACCCAGGCCCUAUGGGGCGCAGCAGGCGAGAAAACUUUGCAAUGUGCGAAAGCACGACAAGGUUAGUCCGAGUGAUUUCUGCUAAAGAAAUCUUUUGCAAGUCGUAAAACCACUAGUGAAUAAGGGGUGGGCAAGUUCUGGUGUCAGCCGCCGCGGUAAAACCAGCACCUCAAGUGGUCAGGAGGAUUAUUGGGCCUAAAGCAUCCGUAGCCGGCUCUGUUAGUUUUCGGUUAAAUCCAUGCGCUCAACGUAUGGGCUGCCGAGAAUACUGCAUAGCUAGGGAGUGGGAGAGGUAGACGGUACUCGGUAGGAAGGGGUAAAAUCCUUUGAUCUAUUGAUGACCACCUGUGGCGAAGGCGGUCUACCAGAACACGUCCGACGGUGAGGGAUGAAAGCUGGGGGAGCAAACCGGAUUAGAUACCCGGGUAGUCCCAGCUGUAAACCAUGCAAACUCAGUGAUGCAUUGGCUUGUGGCCAAUGCAGUGCUGCAGGGAAGCCGUUAAGUUUGCCGCCUGGGAAGUACGUACGCAAGUAUGAAACUUAAAGGAAUUGGCGGGGGAGCUCCACAAGGGGUGAAGCCUGCGGUUCAAUUGGAG
RNAcentral lists this ribosomal RNA (856 nucleotides) under uncultured Candidatus Nitrosopumilus sp. Its description in RNAcentral is "bacterial SSU rRNA". It matches the Rfam family "Archaeal small subunit ribosomal RNA", at positions 50 to 911 of the family's 1478-position model. Lineage: Archaea; Thermoproteati; Nitrososphaerota; Nitrososphaeria; Nitrosopumilales; Nitrosopumilaceae. The record is from RNAcentral.